AAACUCCGGAGAAGCUCUUGAAUGAGCUGCCGAAGGGGCAAGGCAUAAAAGCCGAAACUCUCAGGCAAACGGACGGGGC
This 79-nucleotide non-coding RNA is filed under the name human gut metagenome. RNAcentral describes it as "Glycine riboswitch". It matches the Rfam family "Glycine riboswitch aptamer", at positions 9 to 86 of the family's 94-position model. From Rfam's summary of the family: This family represents the bacterial glycine riboswitch. Glycine riboswitches usually consist of two metabolite-binding aptamers domains with similar structures in tandem. The record is from RNAcentral.